Molecule: ribosomal RNA, 253 nt
Filed under: uncultured bacterium
Lineage: Bacteria
Description: partial 16S ribosomal RNA
Rfam family: Bacterial small subunit ribosomal RNA
Source: RNAcentral
UACAGAGGGGGCAAGCGUUGUUCGGAAUUACUGGGCGUAAAGGGCGCGUAGGUGGCCUGCUAAGUUGAACGUGAAAUCCCUGGGCUCAACCCAGGAACUGCGUCCAAGACUGGGAGGCUUGAAUCCGGGAGAGGGAUGCGGAAUUCCAGGUGUAGCGGUGAAAUGCGUAGAUAUCUGGAGGAACACCGGUGGCGAAGGCGGCAUCCUGGACCGGUAUUGACACUGAGGCGCGAAAGCCAGGGGAGCAAACGGG